RNAcentral lists this ribosomal RNA (429 nucleotides) under Chloroflexota bacterium. RNAcentral describes it as "Chloroflexi bacterium partial 16S ribosomal RNA". It matches the Rfam family "Bacterial small subunit ribosomal RNA", at positions 355 to 776 of the family's 1533-position model. The record is from RNAcentral. Lineage: Bacteria; Bacillati; Chloroflexota.
UGGGGAAUAUUGCACAAUGGGCGCAAGCCUGAUGCAGCCAUGCCGCGUGUGUGAAGAAGGCCUUCGGGUUGUAAAGCACUUUCAGCGGGGAGGAAGGCGUUAAGGUUAAUAACCUUGGCGAUUGACGUUACCCGCAGAAGAAGCACCGGCUAACUCCGUGCCAGCAGCCGCGGUAAUACGGAGGGUGCAAGCGUUAAUCGGAAUUACUGGGCGUAAAGCGCACGCAGGCGGUCUGUCAAGUCGGAUGUGAAAUCCCCGGGCUCAACCUGGGAACUGCAUUCGAAACUGGCAGGCUAGAGUCUUGUAGAGGGGGAUAGAAUUCCAGGUGUAGCGGUGAAAUGCGUAGAGAUCUGGAGGAAUACCGGUGGCGAAGGCGGCCCCCUGGACAAAGACUGACGCUCAGGUGCGAAAGCGUGGGGAGCAAACAGG